This is a long non-coding RNA of Cyprinodon variegatus (sheepshead minnow), 391 nucleotides long. RefSeq lists it as uncharacterized. The transcript has 3 exons. The record is from RefSeq and is a predicted model, not a curated record. NCBI's taxonomy places the organism in Eukaryota, Metazoa, Chordata, Actinopteri, Cyprinodontiformes, Cyprinodontidae.
UUUUCAUGUUAAUUUCAGACACUGUGGACGUCCAAAAGCAGAACUCCUGUGAGGAACCGGGACAUCCAGGACGGUGAGGAGCUUCCCAGUCCCCACCUGAGGACGGCAGAGAGAAAGACUGGAACAGAAAACACACGGAGGAAAGCAGGUUGAACAUGGAAGCAGUUUUCUAGCAGUCGGAUCACAUCGGAACAGAGUCCAUCCACACGUGUUUGGAGGAGCUGAAGAAGAGGAUGAAGCACACAGACCGCUAAGGAGGAGAGACAUGGCUCCUAUAUUUCUCUUUAACAUUCUGGAGUCCUGGACUGAAAAACGUUGACGACCCUGCAGCUAAACCAUCAGUCUGCUACACCCAGUAGAAGAAGGUAAUGUACCUUUAUUGCAUCCAGAU